RNAcentral lists this long non-coding RNA (2865 nucleotides) under Malus domestica (apple). Its description in RNAcentral is "long non-coding RNA (MDOM_LNC001523)". The record is from RNAcentral. Lineage: Eukaryota; Viridiplantae; Streptophyta; Magnoliopsida; Rosales; Rosaceae.
UGGUUGAGUCCUGGGAGCAGAGCGUUCGCCCCCACAACCUACCGGACCACGAGGUGGGGACCGAAAACGUGUUGGACUCUCCAGGAGCCAAAGCGAAUCCGGUGGUGACCGGUCGCUGGUCAGUCCCGCCAUUAGACAGAAUGGCCGGCCAUAUGGUGGUGGUGCAAUUGUUUGCGAUGGUGAACGUCGCCGGGUAGCCGACUCGAAUGGAUUGAAGGAGACAGAGAAGGAAAAGGAACGAUGAAAAAGCUUGAUGGGAAGCCAUUGGAAGUGAAAUGUGCUCUUUUUGUUUCAGUAGGUGGUGUGGGAGAAUGUUGCUUUUUUAUAGGGAAAGAGGAGAGAGUUAGCAGUCGUGUCGUGUGGGAAGAAUAUGUGACGUGUGUUUUGCGUCUCUAGUUUUAUAGGCGGCAACUUGUGCAGAGAAGGCAUUGUAAUAAUAUGCUAAUCUAUUUUAUUUAUAUGUUUGUGAACUUUAUUACCUGUAAAGCAAAUAUGUGACAAGUGGACAUGUGUCGAAAUUCCACGUUUAAGGUGGAUAUUUGAUUUGACCAAACAUAAAAAAAAAAUUUUAAAAAAAGGUAAAUAGUUGGUACGUUCAUCGACUGCUCUGAUAUUUUCAGCGGACAUGCAGAAGAGUUGUGGUGGGACCACUGCUUAAUAAAUUGGAUAAAGCAGAGCUUCCCCUGAAAUUCCAGAAGAGUUGUGGUGGGAACCACAAAAGAAAUGUGAGAUUUUGAUUUGUGGUUGGAAGUUGGAACCAUUUGAUUUGUGGUUGGAAGUUGGAACCAUGGAAGAGUUGGGAGCACCUUCUUUUCUUUUUCUUUUUCUUUUUUUUUUUUUUUUGGAAUAACCUUUCCGAAGAAAGGAGACAAUUUUAUUUCAAACUUUAGAUUACACAUACAAGGUAGACACUGCCAACGAAGGUAGACAGAGAGAAGGAGAAGGAGGUGGUGUGUUAAACACCCGAGCCAAUGAGUCCACCGGAGCUCUACGUACCCCUAAAACGAUCGCAACCAUGUGCUUUGAAAUCUGACAGCAGAUCGAGUUGAAAGUAUGUGGGGGAAAACAGGCGUUGGGUAGAGACAUUUUGGGUAAAUCAGGAAGAACUGGGAGGAACAGUAACAAAAAAACUGAGAAACAAAAAGCAAAACAAAAACCUUUCCUCCAACCCCCGCCACAGCGAGGGCCUUCGACAACAAUUUUAAUCGAUGAGGGAAUCACUCACACACAGAUGGUGGAAAAGACUCUCAAGAAGAGAGAAGGAACUCUCACACGGAGAGAAAAGUUUCAAUUCUGUACAUGGAUGAUAUUUGUUCAAUCAUAUGUGGUAUCAUCGUCAACUAUUUGGGACACUUAGACCAUCUUCAAUCCAAAUCUUCAAUCCAAGGUUGGUCAGAUGGUUCAUUUUAGCCCCUCUAGCUUUUCAAGAUAUUAAUAUUUUAAUCAACAGUACAUGAUCAUAUUAGUCUCAGAGACCCAGAUGGGAGUGAAAAGGAUUUGCACAUUUAAUUACUAUUUCCUCUACAGUGCAGCUUCAAUAGGUGACAGUAAAAACUCUUGUAUCUACAUUUGUGACAGGAUUACCAAAAAUAAGAACCAAGCAAUGCAUACAAUAGGUUUUGGCCGCUGUUAUCACGAGCCGAAUUAGAGCACCUUCAAUGUUGAAAUAUACAAGAACAUGACAUCCGCCUGAAGGUUCUCUUCAUUUAAAGACCAUCACAGAUUUCCAAAUGUUCAGUUAGUAACUAUCCCUAUUGCCUGACCUAUCAAGUAUCCAUACAGCACAAUGAGCAGGGACCGACAGAUAAGUAGGAAAACGAUUCACUCCAAGCGUGUAAUGUCCAGAAGCGACCGGACCAGCCGGCCGGGGCUUGUUCUAUAGCCGAACGGCCACAUAUAUGUAUGUAAAAGGGGAAAACUUGUUCGCCAAACGACAACACUUAUCAUCCAUCAGAGAAAUUAAAACCCUUUUGCAAAAACCAUCAUAUGUAUAUCCCACCAAAACGCAAAAUUACGGGACCCAAUUACAAAAGACUAAUGCUUUAGCAAAAAAAUAUAAAAGGUUCUUGAAGACAAUAUUUACUAUUACUCUGUCUCUUCUCUUUUAUUUUUCAAGCCUUGGCAUUAGGACGAUUUUAGUCUUAAAAUCAUCAAUAGUGCAAAUGGUUACCCGAUCGAAGGAGCAGGGCAGAAAGUGAUGAUGUAAUUGGCGGAAGCACAGGUGAAGGUGCUGGUGCUGUCGUCAUACGCAUAGCUGUAAGCUUUCGGGCACGCAUUUUUAAAAAACUGCGAGUAAGAACUCGGCACGCAUGUGUCCGGCGUAGCGUACGGCCCGCUACAGCAGUACUGCGGCUCCCCAAGCGCCUCGCACGCGCUUUUACACGCCACUCCCUCCUCACUCGCCGUCACCUUCAGCUCCGAGGGGCACCCCUUGUUCAAGUCCACAACGCACCCGGUGGACGUGCAGUUCCCUCCGGUCCCGCCCUCGGCCACCACCAACAUGGGAAGAUUAUACCCAUCGACCAAGCUCACGUCGUAGAAAUCAAGCCCACCCGUACCGUUCAGCGUGAACUCUGCGAGAGUAGCCGGCGGCGCGGCUCCACCGCCAGCACAUUCGACUGCCGAAGAUCCGCAGUCGCCUGUCAAGCAAGUGAAGUUGCCUGUGGUUGAGUCUUGGGAGCAGAGCGUUCGCCCCCAUAACCUACCGGACCACGAGGUGGGGACGGAAAACGUGUUGGACUCUCCAGGAGGCAAAGCGAAUCCAGUGGUGGCCGGUCGCUGGUAAGUCCCGGCAUUAGACAGAAUGGCCGGCCAUAUGGUGGUGGUGCACUUGUUUGCGAUGGUGAACGUCGCCGGGUAGCCGAC